GACGUAGGAGGCGAGCGUUGUCCGGAUUCAUUGGGCGUAAAGAGCUCGUAGGCGGCUUGUCACGUCGGGUGUGAAAGCCCGGGGCUUAACCCCGGGUCUGCAUUCGAUACGGGCUGGCUAGAGUGUGGUAGGGGAGAUCGGAAUUCCUGGUGUAGCGGUGAAAUGCGCAGAUAUCAGGAGGAACACCGGUGGCGAAGGCGGAUCUCUGGGCCUUACCUGACGCUGAGGCGCGAAAGCUAGGGGAGCGAACAGG
RNAcentral lists this ribosomal RNA (253 nucleotides) under uncultured bacterium. RNAcentral describes it as "partial 16S ribosomal RNA". It matches the Rfam family "Bacterial small subunit ribosomal RNA", at positions 524 to 776 of the family's 1533-position model. The record is from RNAcentral.